This 491-nucleotide ribosomal RNA is filed under the name uncultured bacterium. RNAcentral describes it as "partial 16S ribosomal RNA". It matches the Rfam family "Bacterial small subunit ribosomal RNA", at positions 29 to 506 of the family's 1533-position model. The record is from RNAcentral.
AGUGAACGCUGGCGGUAGGCCUAACACAUGCAAGUCGAACGGCAGCACAGUAAGAGCUUGCUCUUACGGGUGGCGAGUGGCGGACGGGUGAGGAAUACAUCGGAAUCUACUUUUUCGUGGGGGAUAACGUAGGGAAACUUACGCUAAUACCGCAUACGACCUACGGGUGAAAGCAGGGGAUCUUCGGACCUUGCGCGAUUGAAUGAGCCGAUGUCGGAUUAGCUAGUUGGCGGGGUAAAGGCCCACCAAGGCGACGAUCCGUAGCUGGUCUGAGGGGAUGAUCAGCCACACUGGAACUGAGACACGGUCCAGAAUCCUACGGGAGGCAGCAGUGGGGAAUAUUGGACAAUGGGAGCAAGCCUGAUCCAGCCAUACCGCGUGGGUGAAGAAGGCCUUCGGGUUGUAAAGCCCUUUUGUUGGGAAAGAAAAGCAGCAGGUUAAUACCCCGCUGUUCUGACGGUACCCAAAGGAUAAGCACCGGCUAACUUCGU